Molossus molossus (Pallas's mastiff bat) is the source of this 104-nucleotide small nuclear RNA. The record is from RefSeq and is a predicted model, not a curated record. Lineage: Eukaryota; Metazoa; Chordata; Mammalia; Chiroptera; Molossidae.
GAAUCACUUUGGCAGCAGAUACUAAAACUGGAACAAUACAGAGAAGGUCAGCACGGCCCCUGCGCAAGGAUGACCUGCAAAUUCAUGAAGCCAUUCCAUAGGAA